GAUGAACGCUGGCGGCGUGCCUAAUACAUGCAAGUCGAGCGAACAGACGAGGAGCUUGCUCCUCUGACGUUAGCGGCGGACGGGUGAGUAACACGUGGAUAACCUACCUAUAAGACUGGGAUAACUUCGGGAAACCGGAGCUAAUACCGGAUAAUAUAUUGAACCGCAUGGUUCAAUAGUGAAAGACGGUUUUGCUGUCACUUAUAGAUGGAUCCGCGCCGCAUUAGCUAGUUGGUAAGGUAACGGCUUACCAAGGCAACGAUGCGUAGCCGACCUGAGAGGGUGAUCGGCCACACUGGAACUGAGACACGGUCCAGACUCCUACGGGAGGCAGCAGUAGGGAAUCUUCCGCAAUGGGCGAAAGUCUGACGGAGCAACGCCGCGUGAGUGAUGAAGGUCUUCGGAUCGUAAAACUCUGUUAUUAGGGAAGAACAAAUGUGUAAGUAACUAUGCACGUCUUGACGGUACCUAAUCAGAAAGCCACGGCUAACUACGUGC
This 498-nucleotide ribosomal RNA is filed under the name uncultured bacterium. RNAcentral's name for it is "partial 16S ribosomal RNA". It matches the Rfam family "Bacterial small subunit ribosomal RNA", at positions 28 to 508 of the family's 1533-position model. The record is from RNAcentral.